UGGGGAAUUUUGCACAAUGGGGGAAACCCUGAUGCAGCGACGCCGCGUGAUUUAGAAGGCCUUCGGGUUGUAAAAAUCUUUUCUAUGGGAAGAAAAUGACAGUACCAUAGGAAUAAGGACCGGCUAAUUACGUGCCAGCAGCCGCGGUAAUACGUAAGAUCCGAGCGUUGUCCGGAAUCAUUGGGCGUAAAGGGUACGUAGGCGGGUAAGCAAGUUAGAAGUGAAAUCCUAUAGCUCAACUAUAGUAAGCUUUUAAAACUGCUCAUCUUGAGGUAUGGAAGGGAAAGUGGAAUUCCUAGUGUAGCGGUGAAAUGCGCAGAUAUUAGGAGGAAUACCGGUGGCGAAGGCGACUUUCUGGCCAUAACCUGACGCUGAGGUACGAAAGCGUGGGUAGCAAACAGG
Molecule: ribosomal RNA, 402 nt
Filed under: bacterium
Lineage: Bacteria
Description: partial 16S ribosomal RNA
Rfam family: Bacterial small subunit ribosomal RNA
Source: RNAcentral